AGUGAACGCUGGCGGCAGGCCUAACACAUGCAAGUCGAACGGCAGCACAAGAGAGCUUGCUCUCUGGGUGGCGAGUGGCGGACGGGUGAGGAAUGCAUCGGAAUCUGCCCAUUUGUGGGGGAUAACCUCGGGAAACCGGGACUAAUACCGCAUACGACCUACGGGUGAAAGCAGGGGAUCUUCGGACCUUGCGCAGAUGGAUGAGCCGAUGCCGGAUUAGCUAGUUGGAGGGGUAAAGGCCCACCAAGGCGACGAUCCGUAGCUGGUCUGAGAGGAUGAUCAGCCACACUGGGACUGAGACACGGCCCAGACUCCUACGGGAGGCAGCAGUGGGGAAUAUUGGACAAUGGGCGCAAGCCUGAUCCAGCCAUGCCGCGUGUGUGAAGAAGGCCUUCGGGUUGUAAAGCACUUUUGUUGGGGAAGAAAAGCAGCCGGUUAAUACCCGGCUGUCAUGACGGUACCCAAAGAAUAAGCACCGGCUAACUUCGUG
RNAcentral lists this ribosomal RNA (490 nucleotides) under uncultured bacterium. RNAcentral describes it as "partial 16S ribosomal RNA". It matches the Rfam family "Bacterial small subunit ribosomal RNA", at positions 29 to 507 of the family's 1533-position model. The record is from RNAcentral.